This 497-nucleotide ribosomal RNA is filed under the name uncultured bacterium. RNAcentral describes it as "partial 16S ribosomal RNA". It matches the Rfam family "Bacterial small subunit ribosomal RNA", at positions 28 to 507 of the family's 1533-position model. The record is from RNAcentral.
GACGAACGCUGGCGGCGUGCCUAAUACAUGCAAGUUGAGCGCUGAAGGUUGGUACUUGUACCAACUGGAUGAGCAGCGCACGGGUGAGUAACGCGUGGGGAAUCUGCCUUUGAGCGGGGGACAACAUUUGGAAACGAAUGCUAAUACCGCAUAAAAACUUUAAACACAAGUUUUAAGUUUGAAAGAUGCCAUUGCAUCACUCAAAGAUGAUCCCGCGUUGUAUUAGCUAGUUGGUGAGGUAAAGGCUCACCAAGGCGAUGAUACAUAGCCGACCUGAGAGGGUGAUCGGCCACAUUGGGACUGGGACACGGCCCAAACGCCUACGGGAGGCAGCAGUAGGGAAUCUUCGGCAAUGGACGAAAGUCUGACCGAGCAACGCCGCGUGAGUGAAGAAGGUUUUCGGAUCGUAAAACUCUGUUGGUAGAGAAGAACGUUGGUGAGAGUGGAAAGCUCAUCAAGUGACGGUAACUACCCAGAAAGGGACGGCUAACUACGUG